This 163-nucleotide ribosomal RNA is filed under the name Lachnospiraceae bacterium C10. RNAcentral describes it as "23S rRNA. Bacterial LSU". It matches the Rfam family "Bacterial large subunit ribosomal RNA", at positions 2761 to 2925 of the family's 2925-position model. Lineage: Bacteria; Bacillati; Bacillota; Clostridia; Lachnospirales; Lachnospiraceae. The record is from RNAcentral.
GGGAUAAACGCUGAAGGCAUCUAAGCGUGAAGCCCACCCCAAGAUGAGAUAUCCCGUCCAAAAGGACAUAAGAUCCCUCAGAGAGUAUGAGGUAGAUAGGGCAGAGGUGUAAGCAGAGUAAUCUGUUCAGCUGACUGUCACUAAUAGAUCGAAGGCUUGAUCA